RNAcentral lists this ribosomal RNA (483 nucleotides) under uncultured bacterium. RNAcentral describes it as "partial 16S ribosomal RNA". It matches the Rfam family "Bacterial small subunit ribosomal RNA", at positions 28 to 523 of the family's 1533-position model. The record is from RNAcentral.
GACGAACGCUGGCGGCGUGCUUAACACAUGCAAGUCGAACGAUGAUCAGGAGCUUGCUCCUGUGAUUAGUGGCGAACGGGUGAGUAACACGUGAGUAACCUGCCCCUGACUCUGGGAUAAGCGCUGGAAACGACGUCUAAUACUGGAUACGACUGCCGGCCGCAUGGUCUGGUGGUGGAAAGAUUUUUUGGUUGGGGAUGGACUCGCGGCCUAUCAGCUUGUUGGUGAGGUAAUGGCUCACCAAGGCGACGACGGAUAGCCGGCCUGAGAGGGUGACCGGCCACACUGGGACUGAGACACGGCCCAGACUCCUACGGGAGGCAGCAGUGGGGAAUAUUGCACAAUGGGCGAAAGCCUGAUGCAGCAACGCCGCGUGAGGGAUGACGGCCUUCGGGUUGUAAACCUCUUUUAGUAGGGAAGAAGCGAAAGUGACGGUACCUGCAGAUAAAGCACCGGCUAACUACGUGCCAGCAGCCGCUGUAA